RNAcentral lists this ribosomal RNA (468 nucleotides) under uncultured bacterium. Its description in RNAcentral is "partial 16S ribosomal RNA". It matches the Rfam family "Bacterial small subunit ribosomal RNA", at positions 28 to 507 of the family's 1533-position model. The record is from RNAcentral.
GACGAACGCUGGCGGCGUGCUUAACACAUGCAAGUCGAACGGAAAGGCCCUGCUUUUGUGGGGUGCUCGAGUGGCGAACGGGUGAGUAACACGUGAGUAACCUGCCCUUGACUUUGGGAUAACUUCAGGAAACUGGGGCUAAUACCGGAUAGGAGCUCCUGCUGCAUGGUGGGGGUUGGAAAGUUUCGGCGGUUGGGGAUGGACUCGCGGCUUAUCAGCUUGUUGGUGGGGUAGUGGCUUACCAAGGCUUUGACGGGUAGCCGGCCUGAGAGGGUGACCGGCCACAAUGGGACUGAGAUACGGCCCAGACUCCUACGGGAGGCAGCAGGGGGGAAUAUUGCACAAUGGGCGGAAGCCUGAUGCAGCAACGCCGCGUGCGGGAUGACGGCCUUCGGGUUGUAAACCGCUUUCGCCUGUGACGAAGCGUGAGUGACGGUAAUGGGUAAAGAAGCACCGGCUAACUACGUG